ACUAAAUUAAAGUUAAAAUGCAUGGUUUUCACUUAUAAAGUGAUUAAUCAAUUUUGUAUCUAUUAUAUCAAAUGCGAAAAAAAAUAUGGCUGAAAUUUUCAAAUUCUUUUAUGCUUUGAUCAUCUUCAUUUCUCUAAUUCUUUCGGUAGCCAACGCAGAUCCUAUGUACUGCUUUAAUGACGAUGAUUGUCGAGAGCUGAAAUGUAGCCAUCCUCGUGUUCGGAAGUGUCGUAUGUUUUUGUGUCGCUGCGAGGAAGUCGACAAGGAAGAUGAAAAAUGAUUAUUUUUUUUCCAAGUGUAUACUUUUUUGUAUGACAAGAUCUUGGUACUUAAAAGAAUAAAUAUUAGUAUGUGCUUAUUGAAUUUUCGGAAAGAGAAAAAUCUAAACUAUUCAUUUUAUAGGUAAAUGGUAGAAAUUAAUUUUUUAUACUAAUAUUUUUCUCUUUUA
Long non-coding RNA from Medicago truncatula (barrel medic), 448 nucleotides. RefSeq lists it as uncharacterized. The record is from RefSeq and is a predicted model, not a curated record. Lineage: Eukaryota; Viridiplantae; Streptophyta; Magnoliopsida; Fabales; Fabaceae. The transcript has 2 exons.